Molecule: ribosomal RNA, 523 nt
Filed under: uncultured bacterium
Lineage: Bacteria
Description: partial 16S ribosomal RNA
Rfam family: Bacterial small subunit ribosomal RNA
Source: RNAcentral
GACGAACGCUGGCGGCGUGCUUAACACAUGCAAGUCGAACGAGACGAUUGAAAGCUUGCUUUUGAAAGUCGAGUGGCAAACGGGUGAGUAACGCGUAGACAACCUGCCUUUGAGAUGGGGACAACAGUUCGAAAGGACUGCUAAUACCGAAUGUUGUAUAUUUUCCACAUGGAAGAUAUAUUAAAGAUGGCCUCUAUUUAUAAGCUAUCGCUCAAAGAUGGGUCUGCGUCUGAUUAGCUGGUUGGUGGGGUAACGGCCUACCAAGGCGACGAUCAGUAGCCGGUCUGAGAGGAUGAACGGCCACAUUGGGACUGAGACACGGCCCAGACUCCUACGGGAGGCAGCAGUGGGGAAUCUUCCACAAUGGACGAAAGUCUGAUGGAGCAACGCCGCGUGAGUGAAGAAGGCCUUCGGGUUGUAAAGCUCUUUCAGCUGGAAAGAAAUCGUACUUAUUAAUACUAGGUGCGGAUGACGGUACCAGCAGAAGAAGCACCGGCUAACUACGUGCCAGCAGCCGCCGUAA